CCAACUAUAAAUAGGGGUGCUUGGUUCAUUUGCAAACCAUCCCUUGGCAAACCACUUCUCUCACAUUUGACUCCACUCCACCACCACUAUACCACCAUCACCUGCCACAUUCCUUCAUCAUCCAUCUUUAAAGUGUGUGUAGUAGUCUCGGGAUCCAAGAUUGAUCGUAAGAGUUUUUGUCAAACAAAGGCAUGCUUGGCUAAUCUCUUACAUCACUUGGUGAAGACAACCCUUUUAUGUAUUACUUUUGAUUUUCCAAACAAAGGCAUGCUUGGCUAAUCUCUUACAUCACUUGUGAACUUUAUUCUAUCAUCUCUAUAGGUUUUGUUGAUUCACUCAUUCGUAUCUUUAUGGUCUAUAUAAAGCAUGUUAACUGCCUGGAAGGGGGUUAGAAGGUGGUUUGGAUAAAGUUCUUGCCUUGUUCAGUGUAUAGAUCCUGCGAGGACUUGAUUCAAGCUUAUUUGGACUUCUCUUGAGGCAAAUAGCAUCAAAUCGGGGGAAGUAAGAACGGCUUGAAUCCCUUCUAAAUAAACUACAAUAAAAACUUUAAACUGGCCUUGCGGGACUAUAUCCCUGCUGACUCAGACCAAUAUGGCCGAGGGUAGCGGUAGCGUUGCCUCCAAAAGAGGGACAUGCCACUCUAAUUAAGACAAUCUCUUAACAAGAACCCAAAGUGCGGAAAUCAUCAAAGGAUACGUA
RNAcentral lists this long non-coding RNA (699 nucleotides) under Helianthus annuus (common sunflower). RNAcentral describes it as "sRNA HanXRQr2_Chr05g0203851". Lineage: Eukaryota; Viridiplantae; Streptophyta; Magnoliopsida; Asterales; Asteraceae. The record is from RNAcentral.